Molecule: long non-coding RNA, 1008 nt
Filed under: Naja naja (Indian cobra)
Lineage: Eukaryota; Metazoa; Chordata; Lepidosauria; Squamata; Elapidae
Description: lncRNA (ENSNNAG00000012502.1)
Source: RNAcentral
AUGAAGUGGGGAGGGGGGAAUCGUAGAUGCCCCAGAGCAGCCAUGGAACCCAUGCACCCUCCCUUCCUCCCCCACGCAAGAGCUCCUCCCCAUGGGCCCAUCUUCUGGAUCUCGAGCCCCCAAUGGGGGGAGGGGGGCAUGAGGCCCUCUUUUUUUGGUCUCUCUGGGCUCCUCAGAGGUUGGGAGCCCACGGAUCCCCCCCACAAGGAGAGCAUGGAGAGGUUAAGGCCUCCCCCACCCCCAGGGCCCGUCUUCUGGACCUCGAAGGGACCCUCAUGGGUCUGGGGGGGGAAUGAGAUCCUCUUUUAUACCUCUCUAGAAAUGGGGGGGUUCAUGGGAAGCUUUGGGGGGGCUGUGGAAAAACCCCUCCCCAGCACAUUAGGCUGGCGAAGGCCUCCACAAAGCCCGUCUUCUGGACCUCGAGGAACCCCAGCAGCGUCCUUUUCCUUCUCUCCACCCCCCCCAAAAUCCCCUCCUUUGCAGGGUGGUGAAGGAGGAGAUCACCGAGGACAGUGCCCUCCUGCCCUGCUUCAACGGAAGGGUCGUCUCCUGGCUGGUGUCUUCAGAGGUCCACCCACCCGAGCCGCCACUGCCCCCUUCUCCUGCUCCCAGAGGUCUGGAGCCUUCUCCCCCACCUCCUCUUCCUCCAUUGCCCGUAGAAAGGACCAGCGCAAUCUGCGACUCCCGCCCUCCUUUCUUCCAGUGAGUAGGAAUGGCUGGUGUGUUUGUGUGUCUGUGUUUGGGGGUUUCUACAUGGUAGAGUUAAAAAGGGGGACUAACCCAGCCUAGGACAGGUAUGAAGUUUAGUGGUCGGGGUAUCUUUUGUGGGGGGUGGCUAACAGAAGAAAAGUUUGAGCUAACUUUCUUCAGAAGUAUUUUAGUUUUUGUUGCUUUUAUUUAUUAUUGUUACACUUUUAUCCUGCAUGUAUUGCUUUAUAAGGAACUCAAGGUGUAGCAAUCAUAUUUAAUGCUGUUCCUUUUAUUUUCUCCCCAAAAAAACCCAGCUGG